RNAcentral lists this ribosomal RNA (573 nucleotides) under uncultured bacterium. RNAcentral describes it as "bacterial SSU rRNA". It matches the Rfam family "Bacterial small subunit ribosomal RNA", at positions 348 to 916 of the family's 1533-position model. The record is from RNAcentral.
GCAGCAGGUAAGAAUAUUCCGCAAUGGGGGGAACCCUGACGGAGCGACGCCGCGUGAACGAAGAAGGCCGGAAGGUUGUAAAGUUCUUUUCUGUUCGAGGAAUAAGUGUAGGAGGAAAUGCCUACAUGGUGACGGUAGGGCAGGAAUAAGCACCGGCUAAUUACGUGCCAGCAGCCGCGGUAACACGUAAGGUGCGAGCGUUGUUCGGAAUUAUUGGGCGUAAAGGGCAUGCAGGCGGGUCGCCAAGCUUGGUAAGAAAUACCGGGGCUCAACUCCGGAGCUAUAUUGAGAACUGGCGAGCUAGAGUUGCCGAAGGGUAUCCGGAAUUCCGCGUGAAGGGGUGAAAUCUGUAGAUAUGCGGAAGAACACCGAUGGCGAAGGCAGGAUACCGGCGGACGACUGACGCUGAGGUGCGAAGGUGCGGGGAGCAAACAGGAUUAGAUACCCUGGUAGUCCGCACAGUCAACGAUGUACACUGGGCGUGUGCGCAAGAGCGUGCGUGCCGAAGCAAACGCGAUAAGUGUACCGCCUGGGGAGUAUGCCCGCNAGGGUGAAACUCAAAGGAAUUGACGG